CCUACGGGUGGCAGCAGUGAGGAAUAUUGGUCAAUGGGCGCGAGCCUGAACCAGCCAAGUCGCGUGAGGGAAGACGGUCCUAUGGAUUGUAAACCUCUUUUGUCGGGGAGCAAAAGACGCCACGCGUGGCGUUCCGAGAGUACCCGAAGAAAAAGCAUCGGCUAACUCCGUGCCAGCAGCCGCGGUAAUACGGAGGAUUCGAGCGUUAUCCGGAUUUAUUGGGUUUAAAGGGGGCGCAGGCGGAAGAUCAAGUCAGCGGUAAAAGUGAGAGGCUCAACCUCUUCGAGCCGUUGAAACUGGUGUUCUUGAGUGAGUGAGAGGUAGGCGGAAUGCGUGGUGUAGCGGUGAAAUGCAUAGAUAUCACGAAGAACUCCGAUUGCGAAGGCAGCAUACCGGCGCUCAACUGACGCUCAUGCACGAAAGUGUGGGUAUCGAACAGGAUUAGAUACCCCUGUAGUC
Molecule: ribosomal RNA, 459 nt
Filed under: uncultured bacterium
Lineage: Bacteria
Description: partial 16S ribosomal RNA
Rfam family: Bacterial small subunit ribosomal RNA
Source: RNAcentral